GCGACUUUGGAACCAGCGUGGGUCGAUUGACUUUUGGGCUCAGCAACAACCCGAAAAUGAUUGACAUUCAUCCGCUUACGCAAAGCCGUCAAAGGCCUUCGUAAUGCGGGGGUCACAGGUUCGAGUCCUGUAAGCGGCACCA
RNAcentral lists this transfer RNA (142 nucleotides) under Sphingomonas yabuuchiae. RNAcentral's name for it is "tRNA-OTHER". Lineage: Bacteria; Pseudomonadati; Pseudomonadota; Alphaproteobacteria; Sphingomonadales; Sphingomonadaceae. The record is from RNAcentral.